UGCCAUAGCUCAGUUGGGAGAGCGUUAGACUGAAGAUCUAAAGGUCCCGCGUUCGAUCC
This 59-nucleotide transfer RNA is filed under the name Ostreococcus mediterraneus. RNAcentral describes it as "partial tRNA". It matches the Rfam family "tRNA", at positions 7 to 59 of the family's 71-position model. Rfam says of the family: Transfer RNA (tRNA) molecules are approximately 80 nucleotides in length. Their secondary structure includes four short double-helical elements and three loops (D, anti-codon, and T loops). The record is from RNAcentral. Lineage: Eukaryota; Viridiplantae; Chlorophyta; Mamiellophyceae; Mamiellales; Bathycoccaceae.